GAUGAACGCUGGCGGCGUGCCUAAUACAUGCAAGUCGAGCGAACUGACGAGAAGCUUGCUUCUCUGAUGUUAGCGGCGGACGGGUGAGUAACACGUGGAUAACCUACCUAUAAGACUGGGAUAAUUUCGGGAAACCGGAGCUAAUACCGGAUAAUAUUUUGAACCGCAUGGUUCAAAAGUGAAAGACGGUCUUGCUGUCACUUAUAGAUGGAUCCGCGCUGCAUUAGCUAGUUGGUAAGGUAACGGCUUACCAAGGGAACGAUGCAUAGCCGACCUGAGAGGGUGAUCGGCCACACUGGAACUGAGACACGGUCCAGACUCCUACGGGAGGCAGCAGUAGGGAAUCUUCCGCAAAGGGCGAAAGCCUGACGGAGCAACGCCGCGUGAGUGAUGAAGGUCUUCGGAUCGUAAAACUCUGUUAUUAGGGAAGAACAUAUGUGUAAGUAACUGUGCACAUCUUGACGGUACCUAAUCAGAAAGCCACGGCUAACUACGUG
This 497-nucleotide ribosomal RNA is filed under the name uncultured bacterium. RNAcentral describes it as "partial 16S ribosomal RNA". It matches the Rfam family "Bacterial small subunit ribosomal RNA", at positions 28 to 507 of the family's 1533-position model. The record is from RNAcentral.